GAGGAAUGUAUAGCCAUAGCUACUUGCAUCAUUGUAAAAAUGAUGCAGGAUCGACUAUGUCGAAUAAAAUUCUAGGUAGAAUUUUGAUAAUGACAUUGUCUGCCUAUGUGUCUUGACCAAAUUACGUGCCAGCAGUCGCGGUAAUACGUAGAAGACUAGUGUUAUUCAUGUUUAAUCGGUUUAAAGGGUACCUAGACGGUAAAUCAAGCCUAAAAUUAAAUGAAGGGACUAAUUUACUAGAGUUACUUAUGAGGGGGUAUUAAAGUACUGCUGGUGUAGAGAUGAAAUUCUGUCAUACCUCUUUUCAAUAGAAAAAUAAUGGCACAGGUAUAGGCGAAAGCAUCCCCUUAUGUGAUAACUGACGUUGAGGGACGAAGGCUUUGUGUAGCGAACAGGAUUAGAUACCCCCGUAGUCAAAGCAGAAAAUGAUGAAUGUCAUAGAUUAGAUAAAUAAGUUUAUUCUAUAAAUGAAAGUGUAAGCAUUCCACCUCAAGAGUAAUUUGGCAACAUUGGAACUGAAAUCAUUAGACCGUUUCUGAAACCAGUAGUGAAGUAUGUUGUUUAAUUUGAUGAUCCGCAAAAAACCUUACCACAAUUUGAAUAUUUAUAUCUUUUAUUGUUUUUUUUUAUUUUCUUCUGAUUUGAUUUUUCUAAAGAAAAAAAGAAAAAGAGGCGAUAUGAUAUAUUUACAACGCGUUGCACGGCUGUCUUCAGUUAAUGUCGCGAGACUUUGGUUAGUUCCAUUAAAUUAACGUAAACCCUUACUUUAUUUUUAUAUAGAGUAGUUCCCCGCCUAUAUUGGAUAUGA
This 808-nucleotide ribosomal RNA is filed under the name Hypogymnia aff. pulverata. RNAcentral describes it as "partial small subunit ribosomal RNA". It matches the Rfam family "Bacterial small subunit ribosomal RNA", at positions 356 to 1167 of the family's 1533-position model. Lineage: Eukaryota; Fungi; Ascomycota; Lecanoromycetes; Lecanorales; Parmeliaceae. The record is from RNAcentral.